Molecule: long non-coding RNA, 36207 nt
Filed under: Gossypium barbadense (sea-island cotton)
Lineage: Eukaryota; Viridiplantae; Streptophyta; Magnoliopsida; Malvales; Malvaceae
Description: long non-coding RNA (GBAR_LNC007685)
Source: RNAcentral
AAUGUAAGAAGCAUCAUGGUGACUGGUGAUAAUUGGGGAACUGCAAGUUCCAUUGCUAGUCAAAUUGGCAUUGAAACUGUUGUUGCAGAAGCUAAACCUGAACAAAAAGCAGAGAAAGUAAAAGAGUUACAAGCGGAAGGUUAUGCUGUGGCAAUGGUAGGGGAUGGCAUCAAUGAUUCGCCGGCACUUGUAGCCGCCGAUGUCGGUAUGGCAAUCGGUGCAGGAACAGAUAUUGCAAUAGAAGCAGCUGAUAUAGUUCUGAUGAAGAGUAAUUUAGAGGAUGUGAUCACAGCCAUACACCUUUCCAGGAAAACAUUUUCUCGUAUUCGCCUCAACUAUAUUUGGGCAUUGGGGUAUAAUAUACUUGGGAUUCCAAUAGCUGCAGGGGCUCUAUUUCCAUCAACUGGAUUUCGUUUACCUCCAUGGAUUGCUGGAGCUGCCAUGGCUGCUUCCUCUGUUAGUGUUGUUUGCUGCUCACUCUUGUUAAAGAAUUACGAGAGACCCAAGAAGCUAGAAAACCUUGAGAUUGGUGGAAUACAGAUUGAAUAAUAGAUGAUGGGCGUUCUAUAUAUCCACUUAUAUAUCUAUGCAGGUUUGUUAUAUGUGUAUAUGUAUAGGUUAGGGAUGUGAAAUUUGGCAGACUAAAUAAUAAAGGUAUCAUGCAAAUACUGGUUUCACUAGGCUGCCAAUUUAUGUACAUAUAUUUGGCGUUAUGAUUUUCAGGAUAUAACUGUAGUUUCAAAAUUAGGCGAUCUUUGCAUCAUUGCAUGAUGAAAGGUUUUUUUUUUCUUCUAUAAUACUAAUUUUAUAAAUUAGUAAAAUAUAUUUAAAUUAUUAAAGUAGUAAUAAAAAUAUAUAAAUAAAUUAAUGCAUGAAGUUUAUUUAGUUGGAUUCUAUUAGUGUUUGAGUUGAUAAUUUAUCAGUAAAAGUACGAUGGAAUCUAUUGAAUUUAGGAUGGACUACAUUUUGGACUCUUUAUUGAAAAAUAAGUAAAUUAGUCCUUAUGCAUUUAGAAACGCGCAAAUUAACCUUUCCAUUAAAUUUUAGCUGUUAAAUAAUUAUGUGAAACGUUAAAUCCAUGCUCAAAAUUAAGUUUUUAUAGGUAAAGUAUAAAAAUUGUCACCCAAUUGUGACUUUCAUUAUAUUUUGGUGACCCAACUAUUAAUUUCGAUUUAGUCACUAAACUUUUCGAAUUAAAUAUCUUAGUCACUCUAAGCUUUUGUGAUUUUUUUUAUUGGUCUAAUAACAAAUUUAGCCCACUAAUAUUUACACAUCUAUCAUUUUGAUCCUAAAUAUAAAAUAUUCAACAAAUUUAGCCAUCAAUGUUUACAAAAUUUGUCAUUUUAGUUCUAAUUUAAAAAAAAAUCAAUGAAUUUGGCCCUCAAUAUUAUAAAAUUUGUCAAUUUAGUCCUAACUGUGAAAAUUAAUAUUUAUAAGAUGGGAAAGUCAAGAGACGAAUAUGAGGAAGCAGGCAGGGGCCUUGACCCCCUAAAAUUUUUUUUCAAUUUAGUAUUCUUAUAAAUAAAGAAACUAUAAAUUAAUAUAUAAUGAACUUACAUUUUGACCCAUUCAAAUGAAUUUUUUUAAUUCAAUUCUCUUAUAAAUAAAGAAAAUAAUAAGAUUGUACUUUAACCCCUCAAAAUAAAAAUGUUUAGUCCCUUCAAAAUGAUCAAAUUAUAAAUUAAUAUAUAAUAAAUUUAUAUUUUAAUCUAUAAAAUGUUAUGGUUCAAUUCCGACUCUGUAAAUUUGUCAUCGCUGAACCGUAAAUCAAAUUGAUUCACCAAGAUAGAGUAGGAAAAGGAAAUCAAUUUGGCUAUGUCGAUUACAUCGUAGUGACCAAUCAAUCAUCUUUCCUUAAAAGUUUAUUAAAUUGAUUUUUAUUUUAUUUUGAUGAAAUAAGCACAAUAUUCUAGGUUUGCAAAGCCUUAGACUUUUGAGAAUGAUAUUAAUAGAACAAAUGGUAAAUUCAGCAAUUGGUUAGAGCAGUAAACUAAAUAGUUAUUCACUUAGAUAUCUUAAGUUGGGAUCUUAAAUCAAAGAUAUUAUUUUUAUUUUUAUCUUUAAUUUUAUACAAAAAGUUAACCACGUUAGGGAAUGUAACGCCCCAAUUUUCGGGAAUCCUGUGAAUGUUGGCAUAGGUUUAAUUAUGUUAAUGGGCCUCUAGAAAGCCCAAGCUUAAGAUAGAACCCAGUAAUUUUAGUUAAUUUUUGUUCCAUAAGAAAAAGGGGGUGAAAUUAUGAAAUAGAACCUAUGUGAAAAUGUUUGAAAAUGCUAUAGGCUAAAUUGAAGUGGCCAAAUAAAUAGGAGUGCAAAAUAGGAGGAUUUCCAUGACAAACCUCCUAUUUUACAUGAAGUGGUCAGCCAUCAUGUUGUUGUAGACAAAAUGUGCACUUGAUAUCUAUAAUUUAUGGUACAAAUUGAUACAAAUUGAUAAUAGGUUAGGUAAAUGUUCCAUGAUAAUGGGUUAGGUAAAUGUUUCAUGAUAAGAAUUUCAUGUCUUUUGUAUUAAAGAAUUAAAUGGAUGAAAUAUGAAGUUUUAUUAAAAGAAAAAGGGGUGAAAAGAAUAAAGUUUUGUCCAUCUUUGUUCAUCAUAGCUGAAAGUUAGAGAAGAGAAAGGAGAGGAGAAAGCUCUUGAGUAUUCGGUCAUUAGGAGGAGAAAAAUUGAAGGUAAGUUCUUGGUACCUUGCUUCUAUUUUGAGGUUCAUGAGUUCUUCUUGAUUCUACCUUAACUUUUGAAGUAUAUUUUGAUUUUUAGUUGUGUUGUGAGCAUUUGGUCAUGAAUUAAAAUGAAGGAAAUGGUUGUUGUUUCAUGUUCUUUUGAUGAAAACUGGAAGAUAUGUGAAGUUGAGCCAAACAAAUGAGCAUGCAUGUGCCUUAGAUGCUAAAGGGAAAAAUCGGCUAACAUGUUGUGCUUUAAAAUGAUGAAAUGGAGAUUAUGCUUAAGUAAAAAUCAUAGAUAUGUGAUGGUUGAUUGGUGAUAUACAUGUUUAAAUAACAUGCAUGCAAGAUAGGUGUAUGAAAGAGUGAUUUGGUAAUAAAUCUGCUUGGGACAACAGCAGUAACGUGACUUUGGAAAAUCACCAUAAAUUGUGGGAGAUGAAUUAGAAGCUGAAUAAAUUAUGUAAUUAAAGCUUAUUGAGUCUAGUUUCUAAUGAAAUAAACAAGAACAUAUUUUGAAUUCUGUACAAUGAGAAAUUUGAUUCGUAAUGAAGAGUGGUCAGAUUAGUCAAACAGUGAAAUAUGGGAAACUUUGAGAAAAAUCUGGUAUUGAUUGGCUAAACCAAAAAUUCUGAAAAUUUUAUGGAUAGAAGAUAUAUGAGUCUAUUUUCAGGGAAAAUUAACGGAACUUGAUUUGGAGUUUCGUAGCUCCAGUUAUAAAUAAUUUAGUGACUGUUACUCAGGAAGACAGCUUGCAGUGAAAUUAUGAUUAUGUGGUAAACAUCGACAAAAAUUUGUUAAUGAGUUGCUUAUUGAUUUCUUAUAAGCUUACUAUGAUCUAUAGGUGUGGUUGGCCGAAUAUUGUAAGGGGUUAAUACGUAGUUUGUAUUUGAAUAGUUAGAUUAACGUGUUAGUAAUCCAAUUGUAGGCGGUUCGUGUGUGGAUUUCGUCAGCAUAUCGUCGCAAACAGGUGUGUAACUAACACCCUCUUUCUUAGUCUGGAUCGGCAAAAGUCGAAAAGCCAAAAUGCCGAAAAUCGGUAUUUUGUAGAUUUGCGAGUGUGCGAAUGCUCGUGAGGUAAAUCGAUUAAUGUUUUUGGUAAACUGCAAAAUUUGGAUUGCAAAGUGCAUGAUUUCUGUGCCCUCGAUAUUUUUGGGCUUAAUGGGCCAAAAUUGGAAUGAUGGGCCAACGGGCCCAAUUCGGUAAGAACCCUCGGUACGUGAUUCUGUAGUACGUGAAAGGUAGGAAUAUGCAUGAAAAACCCUAAAAUAGAUAAAUUACUGAAAUACCUUUAAAAGUAAAAAAUUUACAAUUUUAUCCCUAGAAGAUAAAUUAUCGAAAUACCCCUAGGGUUAAAUUGACUUAAAUGCAUGUUUGACUGUUGUUAUUUACUGCAUGCCAUGUUGUUAUUAUCUGAUGCAUGGGACCGGGAUAUUGACGGAGGAAGUACUGAAAGUGGCUUGUCCACGUACUGGAAGCUUUGCCUCAAUUUACUGUUAACUGAGCAGUAAUGCUGCAACUGUGGAGUGUUGGGCUGGGUGGGUUGAGCUAUUCCCCACAUGGAGUGUAUGGCUGGUACGGGUGGAGUGUAGUGGUUGGUGGGUUGAGUAGUCUCCCCAAAUGGGCUUGCAUAUGUUAUUGAUGUUGUAUGUAUUUUGAAAUGGGCCUAUGGGCCAUACUGUUAUCUGAAUAAGGGGCUAAGGCCCAGUUUAUUGUAAUCUGAAAAGGGCUCUGGCCCAGUACCACUGUUACCUGAAUGGGCUUAGGCCCAAUAGGCUUGAGCUGACUUGGGCUUUGAAUGGGUUUUCCUUACACACUGAGUUUCCCCAAACUCACCCCUUUUAUUUUCAUCUACGCAAGAAAUCCCCAACCAUAGUGGGCUUGGAGCUGUGAGGGAAUUCGGAGUGGCCACCCGUUCUGAAAGUUUGAUUUUCUUCUGGUGAACUGGACAUCUUUUUAUUUACGUUUGAAGUUUUGGGUUUUUAAAUGUAAUAAGGCCGCUUAAUUAUUUUUAAUGGUUUUAAUAUGUAUUACUAAGAUAGGUAUUACUUAUUUUAACUGUUGAAAUUGGAUAGCUUUAGGGCGCGUUUUCAAAAACAACAGUUGAUUUCAAAAUAACACAACAACAAGUAAAGCUUCCGCAACGAAAGUAUUUUCCAAAAUUAAUCACUUUUCCUAAAAAUGACUUAAUCAAAUCGGUUUCCUAGAAAUAUCCAUGACGUUAAGGUGUGGUAAUGGCAGUAUGCAUGUCUAGGAUUGGAUCCGAAGGGAGCUUGGUACUUAAGCAGUCCGAUGGACUCACCACCUCUUUUUCGGUUUCCUACCUGGUGCACAACUUCCAUUCACUUUAACCUAUAAUGAAAUUAUCUUUUAAAACACUGAGUAGGUUUUUCUGGAUCAACAAUAUAAAAUAUUUUUAACGCUUCGAUGUGGCAUGUCGGAUCCAGCCAUAACGUCUGGGCCGGAUUUGGGGUGUUACAGGGAAAGUAUCAUAACACAAGAAAUGUGUUUUCAUUUAAAAAAAUAUUUUAGUUUAAAAAUUUACCAUAUAUUCGUGUUAAUUUGUUUUAUUAUUUGUAUUUCCUAUUAUUGAUUUAAUUUAAUUAUAAAUAUAAUUUUAAUUAAUUAUAGUUUUAUAAUUUUAGUAUAUAUCUACGCAUAUUCCAAUAUAUGUACAUUUAGAGAGUAUAUUAUUUAAGUUAAAUAUCACACAAAAAUAUUGAUGUAAAAAUAGAGUACACUUAUAUAUGCAUAAUCUUGUAAUCAUAUAAAAAAAUUUGAUGGUUUGGAUGAAAUUACCUGGAUUGCCGGAAGGCAUGUAUGCAAAAAACUUGCUCAAGGUCAUUGGAAAUGUGAUUGGUCCCAUUGCAAUAAUUGACCAGAAUAGCAAUAACAAUUCCAGGGGGCAGUUCGCAAGCCUCGCAGUUUUUAUAGAUUUGGGAAAACCUUUGGUCUCACGAAUUGAUGCGAAAAUACAGAGGGUGGUGUAUGAAUCAUUACCUGAAGUUUACUUCGAUUGUGGGAGAUUUGGACACAACGGUGAUAUGUGCCCUUUCAGACCUGGGAAAGGGGAUAAUACUGAAGGGAAAGUGAAGGGUUCUACUGGUAAGGAAACGUCAACUCAGGAACAGUUGGAGGAAGAGAGAUUUGACCCGUGGAUGUUAGUUGAACAGCGGCAACGACGAAGCUCUAGACCGACGGCAAACUCAAAGGAUGGCAGUGUCAAACCGACGACUGGAGGGUCCCGAUUUGGUGUUCUUAGCGAUAAUUACAGAAGUAUAGAUGGUAGUGAAUCGAUGAGAUUCAAUGAAUUUGAGGAAAUUAGGAUUUUGAGAUAAAAAUAUGAAAAAAAAAAAUCUGUAACACCCAUAACCUAUGUUCAUCGUUAGAAUAGAGUUUCAAAAUAUCAGCGAUCAAACAGACAUAAUUUUCAAACAUUUGUAUCAUAUAAUAUUCAAGUUAGAAACUAAUCAAAUUCAUACCUAAUUUAAUCCAUUUUAGCUAGUUUUUAAACACUUAAACAUCAAUUGAACAUGCCAUAAUAAAACUUCAAACAUAAACACAUAUUCACAUGUAUAUAUCAAACCAUUAUUAAAUUUAUAACCUCAUUUACAAUCAAACCACAAAAUAACUAUUAUUUAGACACCAUUUUUGGAUUUAAAAAUGGAAAUCGACUUUGAUUUUGAAAAUGAAAACGAACAUAGAAGUCAUCACCAAUAUUUUUGUUUAGGUGUGAUCAGAUCACCAAGAAUUUUGGUCAUUUUAAUAAAACAUUUCGAUUUACUAAAAUAACGAUUUUGGUCUACAAAAUUUGAGAAAACGAGUUCGAAAGUCGAUUACGUACGAGAAUAAAUUAACACCCUUGUAACGCUCAAAAUUAGUACCUAAUUAAUUAAGUGUUAUCCUUAUGUCAAGAUUUUAGAAAAAAAUUUGAAAUACGAUUCCCUUUUAAAACAUUUGUAUGAUUCAAGUUGAUCGUCAAAAUUCUCUCGUUUUAAAGGUAUACAACAUCAUAUCAAGCACGAUUGGACACAAUCCUUUAUACCUUCAAAAAUACGAUUGAUUUUUAACUUUCAAAAGCUCGUACGUCAAAAAUUAUAAAAGAAUAUUCAAAUAUUUAGUCUGACGAAAAAUCAUACCCAACACGAUAGGACAUGAUUCCCUAAAUUUCCAAACAUUGAAUACUGCCUUAUUUUAAAAUCUUUGGGUAAAGAAAAUCAAAAAUUAACUCAAAAUCCAUUUAUUUGUUUUAAAAUAAGAUGGUAUAAUUAAAGGGUUACAAAGGAACAUUUGUAUGAAGAAGGAUUAAUAAACACGAGAUAAUACACACACAUAAAGUGCAAUAAACCACAAUCAAUAAAUCCAACAAUUAAAUACAACUAUUCUAAUAAAAAUGUGACCAAAUUUUUAAGCAUGGAUGGAAAACAAUAAAUAAAACAAUGAAUAAAUAAUAUACAACAACAAUAAAUAUGAAACAAUAUAAAACAAACAACAAAGCAUGUACAAAACAAAAUGAAAAUUAAAAGUCAAUGUGGGGUGAGACAAUUUAAAAUAGUGAUGAACGAAUGACCACAUAAUAUACAUGAUAUAUUAAUGGAUGAUUUGAUGAAUUUGAAAUAAUUUGGGUAAAAAAAAAAACUAGGGAUAUAUAUAAUCAUUGAAAUACAUAUUAUAUAAUAAAGAUUUUUAAAUCGAAUAGUAUACGAAGUGUUAAAAAACAUUUGUUAAAAUACAUACAACAAAGGAAAAUUCAAAUAAUAUAUAAAAUAUGAAAGGAUAGCAAAAAUGCAUAAUAAAAUAUAUUAGGAAAUACACAUAAUAAGUUUACAAAACAUAUAUCUACAUAAGUAAAUUUAGAAGUAAUUAUUUGUAAAAACAAUAUGGAAUUAAUAAUGCAUAUAAAAUUAACUUUUCCAUAAAUUAUAUAUAUAAGAAAUUUUAAAAAAUAUAAUCAUAUAUACAAAAGAAAAAAAAACUAUAUUUACAAAAUACAUAAAUUUAGUGAUGUAUAUGGAUCAAACAUAUAUUCCAAUAAUAUAUAUAUAUAUACACAGAGAAUUUUGAAACAAAUUUUAUAUGACAUAAUUUUACAUAUAACCAAUUAAUUUAGAUUAAUGAUACAUAUAAAUAAUACAAACAUAAAUAUAAUAAUAUGUGGAGGUAUAUGAUAUAAUUUUAAAUAUGGUUAAAAAAAAUUAUACACGUAAAUAAACUUAAAGGACAGUAUACAUACAUCGAAAAUUUUUACAUAUAAUGACGUGAAAUAAAUAACACGGGAGUAAAAAAUAAUUUAAUAUGAAUUAUAUAUCAUAAUAUGAAGUUUAAUACCAUGUAAACCUUCAAACAUAAAAAUGUACAUAUAAAAGAUUUUUACAUUCAUGAAUCGUAAAGUUAAACAAAUUAAAACAUACAUACAUAUAUAUAUACACUAAUGAAAGUGCUUAAACAAUGCAAGGUUAAUGAAAUAAUCCAUGAUAAUAUGUCCAAAGAUAUAUAGCAAAUGAGUUUCUUUGAAAAAAAAAUAAAAAAUAAUAUAAAGAAUAAAAACUUGAGCUAAAAAACUCAAUUGAAGCAAAAAUAAAAUUAAACGGAUAAUUUGCAAAUAAAUAACAACUGUUAAACAACCUGAAGGACUAAAUAGGGAUUAAAAAAAAAUAAACCAUCUAAUGUGGACUAAAUUGAGUAUACGCGCAAAUUCUAGAAAUAAUUUAAAAGAAUCAAAGAAAAUAUAAAUAGGGCCUAAAUAGAUGGCGGCACAAAUGGGGAGGACUAAACGCAAAAAUUCCCCUUUUAAAGUGAGAAUGCGUGGAUCAAGCCAACGCAUUGACUUCCCUCCCCCCUCUUUUAAUGGUGCCUUCUGAAUUUUCAUUAAAACCUUUAUCAUUAUUAUUAUUUUUUAUUAUUAUUUUUUUUUACCUUGCAAACCCCAAAAGUCUCAACCCCCUCUGUUACGGUUUCACCCAAACAUGACGCCGGACCACCACCAUAUCUGGUUGCCGACGGUGCGAAAAAAUGGCCUAAGACCAUGACCACGAAGCCCUGGUAAGUGAGCUCCCUUUCUUUGUUCUCAUACAUCAAUAAAAAAGAUAAAAAAAGAAGAUGAAAACAACUUGAAAUCCUGUUUUGCUUUAGAAAAUAAAAGGGAGAGUUUUAUCACACAAGAAAGCAAAGGGCCUCAACCCCAUUUCGGGUCCGAAUCCAAAGACGGGGGAAAUCUCCGAUGACACGGCCACGAGGUAAGUCCCUCUCCUCUCUUAGUUGCGUGUAAAAAAAGAAAAUGUCACAAGAAAAUCAAAAUAGACUAAAAAUAAAGAAAAUCCAGAAAUCAAAUCACCUUUUUGAAAUAGUCUUCUUUUUGGAUUAAUACUCUCUGCUUCUUUUAUUUCCAAAAAAUCCCCCCUUUUUUGCAUUCGCUUUUUUCUUUGGCUUUAUAGCCAAGAAUAUUACAAAUACAUUAUCUAUGUUCUACUGCUUCUGCUUUGCGUGUUUCUCUUUCGUUUUGUAGGGCUAAGCGGGAUCAACGGAAAGGGCGCAGGUAGUGGUACAGGCGAUGGGACGGGGCACCUAUCUCGGGCGUUGAACGCGCUGACAGCACGUGAGGAGCAGUGCCUAAUGUGCUGGUAUGAAACCCUAGGGUUUCCUGGUUUAGUAUUUUGGGCCUAUUGGGGCCAAUAGGAAUUGGGUCAGAUUUUUUUAAAAUGGGUUUGGGUUUAUUGGGCUUGAAUUUGUAAAAUAGACUGUUAACAAUUAUUUUUUGAGUUGUUGAGCCUCGGACAAAUUUGGGCCUCUACAAAUAUAAUAGACACAAUUGAAUAUUUAAAAUCACAUUUAUUCAUACUAUGACAUUAGCCAUACAAUACUCAAUUCAUGAAUACAUCAUUAUAUACCAUAAUCAAUUUUCAUUACUUACUAUAUAAUAGUUUUCCAUUCCACAUAUUAUUUAAAUAAUGACACUAUCCAUUCUACAUUCAAUUCAUGAGUUCCAUGUAUUUACAAUAUAUUUCACACUAUUUCAGUUCAUUAUUUUAAUUCCAUUGUGAGAUGUUGGCUUGAAGAAGACAUUAAACAGUCAUUGCUAACUGAUGAUAAUUUUCAUUAGGAUGAUGCUCGUUUUAUUUUUUAAACUUAUGUUCAACAAAAAAAAAGAAAAAAAAAAGAUGAGAUUUAAUUCAUUGAUAUUGUGAAAAAAUAAAUAUAAUUUUUUUUAAAAUUAAUUAAUAAAUUAAAUAUAACAUGAAUUUUUGUAAGAAAACAAUAUGAAUUGAAUUAAUGAAAAUAUAUUUUUAUAAAGAAUUUGUCAUAAAUUAAUUUUUUUCCAUAUAUAAACAAAACAUAAUAAAAUUUUUGUCCAAAAUUGUUUCUAUAUUUUUAUGAGGAAUUUGUUUUGAAUUAAAUUUUUUAAAUGAGUUAUACACGGUAGAUUAUUAUGGUAACAAAUGACAAUUUAUAAAUUGUGCCAUAUAAGAAUUGUUUCCUUUUGUGUAAUCUCAUAUUAUUAUAAUAUAUAUAAAAAAUAUUUGUUAUUAUGUCAGUGGAGUUUUUAGACUUCAAAUGCAAUGUUAGGGAGUUGAUAAGUGUUUUAUAUAGGGUAUAUUAGAUAUAUUAAAUAUGCUCUAAGAUUUUGUACUCCUCAAAUAUUUAGAAUUUAGUCCUUUUACUUUUAUUAUAAGACAUUUACUCUCUCUACUUUUUAGAUUUAAAAAAGCAAGUUGAAUUGUUAACACCUUUAAAUUUUUUUUUGUUAAAUUUAAGAUCAUUAUAUUGUCAUUUUUUUUUAGUUACAUGGUUAUCAAAUGAAUUUUUUUUUUAAUUUCAAAAUAUCAUACUAAUAAAAUUAACCAAAAAAAUAAGAUGUUAACUAUUGGAUUUAAAUUUGAAAUAUAAAAAAUAGAAUAAUUAAAUUUCAGAAAAUAAAAAUAUAAAAAUUAAAAUUAAAAUUUAUUAGACUUAUAUAGUAUAUUUGAACAAAUUUUAAACCAAGAAAUGCAACAGUUUGAACCAAUUGAGAAAUGGGCAAAGCGCAAAAUGUUCCGUUCACACGCCGAAAAGUACAAAACUAGGGGACGUAGCCCUGAUGCGAAUACGGCCCCACUUUAUCCGAUGUGCGAGCAUAUGAAAAUUCCACGUUGUAAAAUUUGCCUUCACGGUCCCCAGACGACGUUUUGACCGUCUUCUCAAAAUCCUAUAAAUUACGCUGCAUGGUACCCUUUUCAACUUGUAUUAGCCUUGUUUGAAAAAUAAAUAAAUUAAAUCUUGAUAUAGUUGCUUUGCUUUUGCUUCUCUUAAACUGAGUUCCAAGCAAAACCCUUUUCUGUUUUUCGUCUGAUUUCGCUAAGGUCUUCUUUGGGUAGUUUGAGAUUUGAGUUUUUCAUCAUACUAUGUCUUCUCAAUCUUCUAAGGAAUCAGUUCAUGAUUUCACUGUUAAGGUUCAUUUUGGGUUUAAUUCAAAUUUAUACCCCCAUAGAUUAAAUUUAAAUUGUCUUUCAUUUAUCUCACUGGGUUUUGUUUUUUUUUUUUGGCUGUUCAGGAUGCAAGAGGGAAUGAUGUUGAUGUGGCAAGAAGUUUGACGAUGGCGACAAAGUUGUUAGCUUCGUCAUGCGUAAGGAAGGAGAGUUCUGGGGAUUUGUCACCAAGGCCUCAUUAUCCAUCGAUUCCCAAAUACCCAAAAGGGGUUACGGCACAAGAAACGAGCUUGCAGGGAUCAGAGGCGAAAGCUAUGCUUUCAGUGAUGGGGAUGACAUGUUCGGCCUGCGCUGGCUCCGUCGAGAAGGCUAUUAAGAGGCCUCCGGGAAUUAAGGAAGCUGUUGUUUGAACAACAAGGCGCAAGUUAUGUUCUACCCAAGUUUUGUUAACGUAAGUUUUUCUUAAUUUAUGUUUAGAUAAUUGAAUUUCAGAACAACUAGCUUUUAAUUCAUCAAGUCGGAUAUUCAAAUUAAUUGCAGCCUUCUAAAGAUAUGCAUGAAUAGGACAAGAAAAAUGUAAACCUUUUUUUUGUUUGUUUGUGCAGUGAAACAAUUGUUUUCACUAAGCAACAAAAACAAGAUUUGGUUCUCUGCUUUGACAAGUUUGACUUUAUUGACUUUAUUUCCACUUACCUUUGCUUGGGGAGGAUAAGGAAGAAACAACUUAAAGUAGGCAUGAUUAUGAACCCUUUGAUUUUGACUUCUAUUGAUGCUUUACCGACAAAUCUACAGGUUGCUGCAAUUUGUUUUUGUGAAUGGGGCCAGCUUGGUAGUGAGCCAUGAAACCCCACCUUACGUGUUAUAUACUUAAAUCCCAAGUACCACCCUUCAAAUUUUAAGUCUAUUCAAAUUUGGCUUCUCAUAUUGUCAAUCCAAUGAUUAGGAUAUUUAUAUAUUUCAUCAAUUUAACUUCUAUAUUUUUUAAAUUGUUUCAUUGUCUCACGUUUCGUCUAGGUUAAAUUGUUUUUUAUAUUAGAUUUUUAUAUAAAAAUAUAAAAAGACAGUAGCGUCUAAUAUUUUUUAUUUUUUAAAUGAAUUUUUUUAAAUAAAUUUUCAAUUGAGUUUAUGUUUAGUCUAUUGUAUUACUAACUCUAUCAAUAACUUAAAUAUAAUAACUAUAGAUAUAAUAUUUUAAAUUAUUUUUAUAUAAAAAUAUAAAAUAUAAAAAAUAAAAAUAAAAACAUUAUUAUAAUAAUAUUUGGUAAAUUUUUUAUUUUUAAUAAAUUUUAAUUGAAUUGAUGUUGGAUUAAUUUGUGUUAUUAAUUCUGUCAGAAGUUUAAAUAUAUUACGCAUAGAUAUAAUAUUUAACUUUUUAAGUGAGCUGAGGGAAAACUAAGGGGAAAAAAUAUACUUCUACAUCAAGAGCUAUGCUUCAUGUUGUUUACUGUUGGAUGCUAAUUUCCAAAUGACAAAAAGGGUUGGACUGAAAGUUUUACUACAGCUUUGCUCAUUGUUACAGAUGCAAAAAGAUAUUACUUGAUGACGUUAAGUGAAUGAAGUAAAGCUUAAAAAUGUAUCCCACUAAUUGUUCUUGCAGUUUCAUUAGAAGGUGCAGGAUUUAGCUCCUAACUUAUUAGAUGCAUGUUGGACUUGAAUCUGUCUUGUUCUUUUGUUUUUUUUUAUCUUGAACAAGGUUUUGAAAUAUUAAACAUUUAUAGGAAGAGAGCAUUCGUGAGGCCAUUGAAGAUGCUGGAUUUCAAGCUGCAUUGAUCCAAGACGAGACCGACUAUAAAUCCGUUCAAGUCUGCCGUAUUCGGAUCAACGGAAUGACAUGCACUUCUUAUCGACGGAAUGACAGGCAGCUCCCGGUGUGCAAAAGGUCCAAGUGGCUUUAGCAACCGAAGAAGCACAGAUUCAUCAUGAUCCCAAAAUCAUAACCUGCAAUCAACUCAUGGAGAAAAUAGAAGAGACCGGAUUCGGAGCCGUACUUGUUAGUACUGGAGAAGACAUGAGCAAGAUCAAUCUCCGUAUCGACGGUGUAAGGACGGUUAACUCGAUGAGAGUGCUUGAAAAUUCCCUUCAAGCACUCCCUGGUGUUCAAGCUGUACAAAUAUCCCCUGAACUCAAAAAAAUUGCAGUCUCAUAUAAACCAGAUAUGACAGGACCAAGAAACUUCAUCAAAGUAAUAGAUUCAACAGGUAGUAGCAGGCGUUUUAAGGCAACGAUAUAUUCCGAAGGUGAAGGUGGUGGAAGGGAAUCUCAUAGAAAAGAAGAAAUUAAGCAGUACUUCAGAUCCUUCCUAUGGAGCUUGAUUUUCACUACUCCUGUAUUUUUAACCUCCAUGGUUUUCAUGUAUAUCCCUGGAAUUAAACAUGGAUUGGACACCAAAGUAGUGAAUAUGUUAACUAUAGGUGAAGUCAUAAGAUGGGUGCUAUCAACUCCGGUUCAGUUCAUAAUAGGGAGACGGUUUUACACCGGUUCUUAUAAAGCAUUACGCCAUGGGUCCGCAAAUAUGGAUGUUUCAAUCGCAUUGGGGACUAAUACAACUUACUUUUAUUCUGUAUACACUGUGAUAAGAGCUGCUUCUUCUCCAGAUUUUGAAGGUACUGAUUUUUUUGAAACAAGUGCAAUGCUUAUCUCAUUCAUUUUACUUGGUAAGUAUCUUGAGGUUUUAGCUAAAGGAAAAACAUUAGAAGCCAUUGCUAAGCUUAUGAACCUUGCACCUGAGACAGCAAUGUUGUUGAGUUUAGAUGAAGAAGGAAAUAUGAUAGGUGAAGAAGAAAUCGAUAGUCGAAUGAUACAAAAGAAUGAUAUUAUCAAAAUCCUACCUGGUGCAAAAGUAGCUUCAGAUGGUUUUGUUUUGUGGGGGCAAAGUCAUAUAAAUGAAAGCUUGAUAACCGGAGAAGCACGACCGGUGGCAAAAAGGAAAGGCAAUACGGUUAUCGGAGGUACGGUUAAUGAGAAUGGAGUAUUGCAUAUUAAAGCAACAAAGGUUGGUUCAGAAAGUGCACUUGCACAGAUUGUUCAUCUUGUUGAAUCUGCUUAAAUGGACAAAGCUCCUGUACAGAAGUUUGCUGAUCGAAUUUCCAAAUAUUUCGUGCCUCUGGUGAGUCAAGUCAAGAGAGUCCUUUUAGGAUUGUUUCCAUAAAGUUGGUUUUAAGCUACUUGUUCUUGUUGUUGUCUUCAACAGGCGAUCAUGCUUUCGUUUUCAACGUGGCUUGCAUGGUUUUUAGCUGGAAAGUUCCAUGGUACCCUGAAUCAUGGAUACCAUCUUCGAUGGAUAGUUUUGAGCUGGCACUUCAGUUUGGAAUUUCAGUGAUGGUCAUAGCUUGUCCAUGUGCCUUGGGGCUUGUAACCCCUACUGCUGUUAUGGUCGGUACUGGUGUCAGUGCAUCUCUAGGUGUAUUAAUCGAAGGUGGUCAAGCAUUGGAAGGUGCACAUAAGGUAAAUUGCAUUGUAUUCGACAAGAGAGGAACUCUCACGGUCGAAAAGCCGGUCGUUGUUAACACAAGACUGUUGAAAAACGUGGUGUUACAUGAAUUCUACGAGCUUGAUGCUACAACUGAGGCAAAUAGUGAGCAUCCUUUAGCCAAAGCCAUUAUCGAGUAUGCCAAGAAGUUCAGAGAAGAUGAAGAGAACCCUGCAUGGCUAGAAGCACGUGACUUCGUCUCUAUAACAGGACAUGGAGUGAAAGCCAUUGUUAGGGACAAGGAAAUAAUUGUGGGAAACAAGAGCUUAAUGUUGGAAAACAACAUUGUUAUUCCAGUUGAUGCUCAAGACAUGUUAACCGAAACGGAAUCGAUGGCUCAAACCGGUAUUUUAGUAUCAAUAGAUGGUGAAGUAACGGGAGUUCUCGCCAUAUCCGAUCCAGUGAAACCAGGUGGACAAAAAGUUAUUUCCAUUCUCAAGUCAAUGAAUGUAAGAAGCAUCAUGGUGACUGGUGAUAAUUGGGGAACUGCAAGUUCCAUUGCUAGUCAAAUUGGCAUUGAAACUGUUGUUGCAGAAACUAAACCUGAACAAAAAGCAGAGAAAGUAAAAGAGUUACAAGCGGAAGGUUAUGCUGUGGCAAAGGUAGGGGAUGGCAUCAAUGAUUUGCCGGCACUUGAAGCCGCCGAUGUCGGUAUGGCAAUCGGUGCAGGAACAGAUAUUGCAAUAGAGGCAGCUGAUAUAGUUCUGAUGAAGAGUAACUUAGAGGAUGUGAUCACAGCCAUACACCUUUCUAAGAAAACAUUUUCUCAUAUUUGCCUUAACUAUAUUUGGGCAUUUGGGUAUAAUAUGCUUGGGACCCCAAUAGCUGCAGAGUCUCUAUUUCCACCAACUAGAUUUCGUUUACCUCUAUGGAUUGCUGGAGCUGCCAUGGUUGCUUCCUCUGUCAGUGUUGUUUGCUGCUAACUCUUGUUAAUGUUAGAGUUAGUUAUGAAUUGUUAUUCUGGUGCAAUAGUUGUUAAGCCGUUAAGGGAAAGUUAGUCAGUAGCAGUUCUCUAUAAAUAACAGUUGUAAAGUUCAAAGAAAAGCUGGAUAUGAAAUACACAGUAUACUAUCUCUUUCAUUCGUUUCUUCUUUAGUUAAGAUAGUUCUUAUCUUAGGUUUUAUCAUGGUAUCAGUCGCCUAGUUCCUGGUGCUUGUGCUUCUUUUCGUCUUACGCUCAUGGAUCCAUUUAUUGCAUCUCCGACUGGUGGUGCUACUGCUCCUUUCUCCAUUUCGCGUUUAGUGCAUAGUUUUCCUCGUCAUGAAACAAUUAAUUUGGAUAAGACGAACUGUGUUCAAUGGCAACUUCAAGUUCGUUUGAUUGUUGAAGCUAUGAUCUUCAAGGUUUCUUGGACGGUUCUGUUCCUGCUCCGCCGAAGGUGGUGGCUACACCGGAUGGUACUCUCGCUCCGAAUCCGGAAGCGAUUCUGUUCCAACAACAGGGAUAAGUUGCUGGCAUCGUGGCUUCUCUCUACGGUUAAUUCUUCUCUGCUCUCUUAUUUCAUUUCUACUAAAACUGCGAGUGAUAUUUAGAGUGCUGCGAGUCAUUUGUUUGCAGCUUCAUCCAUCGAGAAGGUGUCUCAGAUCCGGCAUGAUCUCCAUGCGGUCCAGAAAGGUGGAUUCGCUGUCAAAGAGUAUGUAUCACGCAUCAAGACUCUGUGUGCUCUUCUAGAGGUGUCGGGUUCGGCUGUUUUUGAGGCAGAGAAAGUGGAGGUACUCCUUGAUUGUAUUUCUUCUGAUUUCGAUUCUGUGUUUAUGUUAGUUUCAGUCUCGUCGGAGCCGUUAUCGUUUCAAAAACUUGUUGAUAUAUUGAUGGCCAUUGAGAAUCGCCAAACACAGGUUGCAAGGGAUGUCCCAAUGGUUACGCAUGUUGUUGAAACUCCUGUUGCGGUUGCUGAGUAUGAUUCUCGUGUUGUGCGUGGUGAGAGGUCAUCGACUGGAUCUCGCGGUGGUCGUGGUUUCCAUCCUAGAGUGCAGUGUCAGAUAUGUAAUCUGCUCGGCCAUGUUGCGCAGUGCUGCUACUAUCAGUUUGACAGAGAGUUUGAUACUUCCUCUUUUAGUCAUGAUGCUCUGGCCGUUGGUGGUGAGUAUCGUUCUCGGGCGUUCCCUCCGGUGCAACGUGUUGAAGGAAGGCAGUGGAUAUGGCAGAAUCAUUCUGCUACGCCUGCGUUUGGAUCUGCAUAGCAUGGUAGGCAGUAUGUGUCGACUGGGCAGCAUGGUGGGCCAUAUGCGCCCCGUGUGUAUGCACCUGGGCCUUAUGCCCGUCCUAGUAGGCAAUUUGUAGAUCGUGGGGCCCAGUAUGAUCUGGGUCAGAUGCAGUAUGCUCCUACGCCAAAUGUUAUUGGCCGAAUGCCUGGGCCACAUGGCCCUCCCGAUUAGCGUCAUGGGCCGGUUCCUGGUGCUCAAACCGUGCCUCAAGAUUCUCUUGGUUCUCUUGUUGCGAAUUUUGUGGGCGUCCCGACUGUUCCGCUUGAGGUCCCGUGGCGUACAAAACAUCAUGCUCGAUUUUUUGAUAUUGAUAAUUCUCAGGAUAUUGGAUUGCCUCGUAUUCUCGAUUUUCGUGCUUCUAAUUUUUCGGACACAUCCCGGUAUGACUCGAGUUUUGGCAGUGUGGAUCCUUAUGUUCCCACACCAGUCGGGACUACAUCGUGGUGCCCGGACUCUGGUGCUUCUCAUCAUAUUUGCCAGAAUGCAGCAGAUUUAAAUGCUCCUACUCUUUAUUCAGGUACAUCUGAAUUUUUAAUGGGCAAUGGGGUUAUUUCUAAAAUGUUGUUUGUAGGAGAUACGAUUCUUUCUUCAAAUUCAAAGCUCUUGCGGUUGACUAAUGUGUUGUGUGUUCCAAGUAUUCGCAAGAAUCUCUUAUCUAUGUCGUAGUUUGCUCAGGAUAACAAUGUGUUUUUGGAAUUUCACCCCUCUUAUUGUGUCAUUAAGGACAUUAAGACGCAUGAAAUCUUGUUGCGGGGCCAAGUUCGUGAUGGGCUCUAUCAUUUCUCAGUUGCUUCCCUUGUCUCAUCUGCUCAAGUGGCUGAGGUUCAUAAUGUUGAUGUUCAAGAUUCCUCAUUGAUCCUUGAUGAUUUCACGCUAUGGCAUAAUCGACUUGGUCAUCCGUCGGCUAGGAUUUUUAAUGAUGUUUUAAAUAAAUAUGGAAUUGUUUCUAAUAAAAAGACUCUCACUAAUGUUUGUAUUGCAUGUCAGAAGGGCAAGUCUCAUAAACUGCCGUUUUCUAAGUCCAAUACUGAGUAUGUGGAGUUGUUUGAAUUAGUUGUAUCUGAUUUGUGGGGUCCGGCAUCUGUUGCCUGUGAAAGAAAUUUGUACUAUGUUUCCUUUGUAGACAUGUACAGUCGGUUUACGUGGGUUUACUUGAUUAAACGUAAGUCUCAAGCAUUAGACUGUUUUCUUCAAUUUCAGAAAUUGGUAGCUACUCAGUUUGGCAAGCAAAUUAAGAAGUUUCAAAGCGAUUGGGGUGGGGAGUUUCAUGUUUUUGCGUCAGUCCUUGCUGAUCAAGGGAUUUUACAUCGUUUAUCUUGCCCGCACACUUUUGAACAAAAUGGAGUGGCUGAGCGUAAGUAUCGACAUAUCGUGGAAAUUGGUCUAACCUUACUUGCUCAAGCUAAUCUUCCUAUGAAACAUUGGGGUUAUGCGUUCAGCAGUGCUGUUCAUCUUAUUAAUAGACUGCCUACUUCUGUUUUACAAGGUCAUACAUAGUAUCAAAGACUGUAUGGGUGUGUUCCCCAAUAUGCUUAUCUCCAGAUUUUUGGAUGUUGUUAUUUUCCGUACCUAUGCCCAUUCUUACGUCAUAAGCUAGAUUUUCAUUCUCAGCCCUGUACAUUUUUAGGUUAUAGCUCUCAACAUAAGGGUUAUUUUUGUCUUACUCCAGAAGAGAAAAUGAUUGUUUCUCGUCAUGUUGUGUUUGAUGAGCAUCGGUUCUUGUUUUUGCCUCCGGUGUCGACUAAUGCUGGUCAUUCUAUGCAAACUGUUACGUAUGUUCCUCUUGUUCAUACGUCCCCUUCCACACAUUCGAAACCUCCUGUCAGUUCUUCACAACUUCCUGUUGUUUCUUCACCGUCUCCUGUGCUUGAAUCUGCUUGUGAGGCUAUUCGCUCUGCUUUUGAUUCUCAAUCUGCAACGUGUUCAUUACCAGCAGCUGUGACUAUUCAGUCUGGUGCUGCUAGUACGGGGAAUGUAAGGGGUAGUUACUCUUCCACUUCGGUGUCUUCUGAGCAGUCAAUCCCGUUAAAUGUGCCUUGUGUUUCUUCAGGAAAUACUCAUGCUAUGGUCACACGAUCGAAGGUAGGAAUUUUCAAGCCCAAGGUUUUAACUGCUAUAGCUGUUGAUUUUGAGCCAUGUUUUAUUGAAGAGGCCCUUGCUCAUCCGAACUGGAAGGUUGCUGUUCAAGCUGAAUUUGAUGCACUCAUGGCUAAUUCGACUUGGGACCUUGUACCUUCUCUUCCUGGACGGCGAGCGAUCGAGUGCAAAUGGUUAUUCAAAAUUAAGAGAAAUCCUGACGGUUCUGUUAAUCGACGAAAGGCUCGCUUAGUUGCUAAAGGGUGUUCUCAAAUACCAGGUUGUGAUUUUACAGAAACCUUUAGUCUUGUAGUUAAACAGGCUACUAUUCGUAUUAUCUUGUCUAUUGUUGUUUCAAGACGAUGGCCCCUUCGUCAGGUCGAUGUGAAUAAUGCAUUCUUGAACGGGGAUUUGGAUAAUGAAGUGUUCAUGCAACGACCUCCGGGGUUUGUUCAGUAUGAUUCUGCUGGGCAGCCUUUUGUCUGUCGAUUGAAGAAGGCCUUGUAUAGGCUUCGAAAAGCCCCACGAACAUGGUUUGAUAAACUCAAGCGGUUUCUUGUGUCUAUUGGGUUUGUCGUAUCGAAGUCUGAUACAUCUCUCUUUAUUCGUAUUACGUCUGAUUCCGUCUUAUAUGUCCUUGUGUAUGUCGAUGAUAUAAUUAUCACUGGUAAUGUCUCAACUGUUAUUGCUAAAUUUGUUGAUUAGUUAAAUGCUGAGUUUGCUCUCAAAGAUAUGGGUGAUUUGCAUUAUUUUAUUGGAAUUGAGGUUACCCGCUCGUCUACUGGGUGCCUUCACUUAUGUCAGAAAAAAUAUAUUCGGGAUCUUCUUGCUCGAAGUUCACUCUCCAAUGCCAAACCGGUUCAUACACCUAUGAUUUUCUCCUCUCGAUUGUCCAAAAGUUAUGGUGAUCCGUUAAGUGAUCCUACAAAUACCGGAGUCUUGUCGGAGCCCUGCAGUUCGUUGUCCUUACUCGUCCUGACAUUGCUUAUGUUGUUAAUCAUAUUUGUCAAUUCAUGCACAACUCUUCUACAGUUCAUAUGGUUGCUUUGAAGCGAAUAUUGCGAUAUUUAUAUGGUACGCUUGAUUAUGGUGUUGUCUUUCGCCCUUCUACCCGUUUGUCUCUUGUGGGAUAUGCUGAUGCUAACUGGGGGUUGGAUUUUGAUGACCGCCGUUCUACGUCUGGCUACUGUAUGUAUUUUGGAUACUCGCCAGUUUUGUGGUGCUCCAAAAAGCAGCAAGUCGUCUCUCGCUCUACGGCUGAAGCAGAAUACCAGAGUCUUGCUGCAGCUACUAGUGAUGUCACUUGGUUGCUCUCUCUGCUUCAGGAGUUACAAGUUUCGUCUGCCGAUACUCCUACUAUCUAGUGUGAUAAUUCUAGUUCCGUUGCCGUUGCUGCUAAUCCUGUUCUUCAUUCUAAGUUUAAGCAUGUGGACCUUGACUUGUUCUUUGUUCGGGAGAAGGUUGCCGCUGGUACCAUUGUUGUUGGUAAGGUACCUGCCUGUGAUGAAGUUGCUGACAUUCUUACUAAGCCACUUUCCUUGGCGUGUUUUACUCGGUUUAGACAAUUUCUUAGGGUUUUUCCUGUCGAGCAGCUGGAUGCAUGUUAGAGUUAGUUAUGAAUUGUUAUUCUGGUGCUAUAGUCGUUAAGUCGUUGAGGGAAAGCUAGUCAGUAGCAAUUCUCUAUAAAUAACAGUUGUAAAGUUCAAAGAAAGGCUGGAUAUAAAAUACACAGUAUACUAUCUUUUUCAUUCGUUUCUUCUUUAGUUUCUAUUCAAGAUAGUUCUUAUUUUAGGUUUUAUCAGUUAAAGAAUUACAAGAGACCCAAGAAGCUGGAAAACCUUGAAAUUGGUGGAAUACAGAUUGAAUAAUAGAUGAUGAGAGUUCUAUAUAUCCACAUAUAUAUAUAUAUAUAUAUAUAUAUGUAUGCAGGUUUGUUAUUUAAGUUAAUUUUAACAGGCUUGUUAGUGGGUUAAGCCUUGCCUAAGUUAUAUUUUAAUUAUUUGCUAUUUUCAUGUUAUGUUUUCCUAAACAAAGAUAUAGAAAGGAAUAUGUAAUGAAAUGCCUGGGAUAUUGUAUUUGUCUAAAACUUUGGAUUCUCUUUUCUCUCUUUUCUGUUAGCCUUCUUCUUUUCUUUAUGGGAUUUCAUUAAUUAUCCUACAUCAAAUUGUAUUCAGAGCACUCAAACUUUAAUACACUUACAUAUGCAUAAUCUUGUAAUCAUAUAAAAAAAUAUAAAUUUUAUUCAACAAAAAUAUAACAUAUUGACAAUAAAAUAAGUUUAAACUAGUUGAUAUUGUGAAAAAUAAAUAUAAAUAUUUUUAAAAUUAAUUAAUGCAUUAAAUAUAAGUAAACAAUAUGUAUUGAAUUAAUGGAAAUAUAUUCUUAUAAGGAAAUUAUCUUAAAUUAAUUUUUUUCAUUCCAAAUUACAGCUUAAGUAGCCAAAUUUCCUCCAUUUUUAUAUUCAUUUUAAGCUGGAAUUUUGGCAGUUCAAGCAAUUAUAGAUAUACAUAUAUGGCUAUUUCUUAUAGAGGAAGAAAACAGUCUCUGAAAUAUCAGUGUCUAUAUACAUAUACACGUGAACUCCCUUUUUUUUUUCUUACCAUUUUCCUAGAAAAUUCUAAGCAUUCAUAUCAUUAGUUUCACGGUGCAUACCAAAUAUAUAUGAAGUUUUAUUUCAUUAACAAAAGUGUAAAAAAAAAAUAAUUAUUCAAAUUUUCCGUUUUUAAUUUAUAUUUAUCAUAAUACAAACUAUUACAAUUCUAAAAAUUAAUUACAAAUUUUAACAAGUAAAUAUAAAAUUAAAAUUAAUAUAUUCAAAGCUAGUAAUGAAUAUAAAAACCUUAAUUUUACAAUUUCACAUUUAAUUUCCAUAUAAAUAUUUUUUUAUAAAUAUAUGUUACGUAUAAAAGAAUUCAUCCAUGGUGCAUAAUCUUAAUAUUUAUAAGAUGCAGAAGUCAAGAGACGAAUGUGAGGGAGCAGGCAGGGGCCUUGACCCCCUAAAAUAAAAAAAAAAUUCAAUUUAAUUUUCUUAUAAAUAAAGAAAUUAUAAUGAAAUUACAUUUUGACCCAUUUAAAUAAAUUUUUUAAUUUAAUUCUCUUAUAAAUAAAGAAAACAGUAAGAUUGUAUUUUAACCCCUCAAAAUAAAAAUGUUUAGUCCCUUCAAAAUAAUCAAAUUAUAAAAUUAAUAUAUAAUAAAUUUAUAUUUUAUCUAUAAAAAAUUAUAGUUAAAUUUCGACUCUGUAAAUUUGUCUUUGCUGAAUCGUAAAUCAAAUUGAUUAACUAAGAUAGAGUAAGAAAAGGAAACCAAUUUGGCUAUGUUGAUUACAACGUAGUGACCAAUCAAUCAUGUUUCCUUAAAAGUUUAUUAAGUUUAUUUUUAUUUUAUUUUGACGAAAUAAGCGUAAUUUCUAUGUUUGCAAAGCCUUAGACUUUUGAGAAUGACAUUAACAGAACAAAUGGUAAAUUUAGCAAUUGGUUGAGCAGUGAACUAAAGAAUUAUUCACUUGGAUAUCCCAAGUUGGGAUCUCAAAUCAAAGAUUUUAUUUUUAUACAGAAAGUUAACCACGUCAGGGAAUGUAUCAUAACCAUGUUAGAGGCAGCUGAUAUACUUUUGAUGAAGAGUAACUUAGAGGAUGUGAUCAUAGCAAUACACCUUUCCAGGAAAACAUAUUCUCAUAUUCGCCUUAACUAUAUUUGGGCAUUGGGGUAUAAUAUACUUGGGAUUCCAAUAGCCACAAGGGCUCCAUUUCCAUCAAGUGGAUUUCGUUUACCUCCAUGGAUUGCUGGAGCUGCCAUGGCUGCUUUCUCUGUUAGUGUUGUUUGCUGCUCACUCUUGUUAAAGAAUUACGAGAGACCCAAGAAGCUGGGAAACCUUGAGAUUAGUGGAACACAGAUUGAAUAAAUAGAUGAUGGGAAUUCUAUAUAUCCACAUAUAUAUGUAUAUGUAUAGGCUAGGGAUGUGAAAUUUGGCAAACUAAAUAAUAAAGAUAUCAUGAAAAGACUGGUUUCGCUAGGCUGCCAAAUUAUGUACACAUGUUUGGUGUUAUGAUUUUCAGGAUAUAAUUGUAGUUUCAAAGUUAGGCGAGCUUUGCAUGAGGAUGAAAGUAUUUUUUUUCUUUUAUAAUACUAAUUUUAUCUGGUACGUGAGAUAAAAUAUAUAAUUAAUAAAAUAUAUUUAAAUACUUAAAGUAGUAAUAAAAAUAUAUAAAUAAAUUAAUGCAUGAAGUUUAUUAUGUUACAUUCUAUUACUGUAUGAGUUGAUAAUUUAUCGGAAAAAGUAUUAAGGAAACCUUUAAAUUUAGGACGGACUACAUUUCGACCUCUUUAUUGAAAAACAAGUAAAGUAAUCCUUAUACAUUUAGAAAUAUGCAAAUUAACCUUUCCCUUAAAUUUUAUCUGUUAAAUAAUUGAUGUGAAACGUUAAAUCCAAGCUGAAAAUUAUUUUUUUAUAGGUAAACUAUAAAAAUUGUCACUCAAUUAUGCUUUUCAUUAUAUUUUGGUUACCAAACUAUUAAUUUUGAUUUAGUCAUUAAACUUUUUGAAUUAAAUAUCUUAGUCACUCUAAGCUUUUGUGAUAUUUUUUUAUUGGUCUAAUAAUAAAUUUAGCCCUCUAAUAUUUACAUAUUCUAUCAUUUUGAUCCUAAAUAUAAAAUAUUCAACAAAUUUAGCCAUCAAUGUUUACAAAAUUUAUCAUUUUAGUUCUAAUUUAAAAAAAACCAAUGAAUUUGGCCCUCAAUGUUUACAAAAUUUUUCAAUUUAGUCCUAACUCCGAAAAUUAAAAAAUAUAUAUUUAAAAACAAAUCAUUUUUACCCCUUUAUAGCCCAUUGGCUAAAUCAUGUGAGAUAUUAAAAUAAGAAAAAGAAGUACCCUCUUUCAAGUCACUUGCAACAAUUUCUUUUACUAUAACUUAAGCUUCAAACUAGACCAAACCAAUUAAUUUGGAACUUUUCUUGAAUAAUCGCGAACAUAUAAUGUUUUUAAUGCCUUUAUUUUCUUUUGGAUCUUAAAUUCUUGUGUUUUAUCUAAAUUUUAAGAGUUUUUUUUUGCAAGUGAGUGGAAAGAUGGUACUCUUUUUUCUUAUUUUAAUAUCUUACAUGAAUUUGCUGAUAGGUUAGAAAGGGCUAAAAAUGAAUUGCUUUUUUAAAAAAAAAAUAUUUUUAAAAUUUUAGAGUUAGGACUAAAUUGACAGAUUUUAUAAAUGUUGAGGGCCAAAUUUAAUAAUUUUUUAGGAUUAGACCUAAAAUGAAAAAUUUUGUAAACAUUAAGGGCUAAAUUUGUUGAAUUUUUUAUAUUUAAGAUCAAAAUGAUAGAAUGUAUAAACAUCGUAGGGCUAAUUUUGUUACUAGACCAAUAAAAAAAAGCCCACACUAACUCAAAGUGAUGGAAAUAUUUAAUUUUGAAAAGCUUAGUGAUUAAAUCAAAAAAAAAUUAAUAGUUGAGUCAGCAAAAAAGAACAAAAGGCAUAAUUUGGUAACCAUUUUUAGAGUUUACUAAUAAAAAAUAAAUUUCAGCAUGAAUUUAACAUUCCACAUAAUCAUUUAACUAAUAAAAUUUAUGAGAGAAAUUAAUUUAUACGUUUUAAAAUGUAUAAUAACUUGUUUACUCAUUUUUUUAAUAGAGUAGAUGAAAUGCAAUCCAUGUGAUGCCUUAUACUUUUAUCUAAAUUAUCUUAUAAACUGAAAUUUAAGUUUUUUUUUUUCUCUAAAAUUUAAGUUUUUUUUAACAGGCUUAUUAGUAGGUUAAGCCUGGCCUAAGUUAUAUUUUAGUUAUUUGCUAUUUUCAUGUUAUGUUUUCCUAUACUGAUAUAUAGAAAGGAGUAUGGAAUGAGAUGCCAGGGAUACCGUAUUUGUCCCAAAACCUCGGAUUCUCUUCUCUUUCUUUCCUGUUAGUAAAAACUAAAUAUUUUUAAAUAUUAAUAUUGUGAAAAAUAAAUAUAAAUAUUUUUAAAAUUAAUUAAUGAAUUAAAUAUAAGUAAACAAUAUGUAUUGAAUUAAUGGAAAUAUAUUUUUAUAAGGAAAUUGUCUUAAAUUAAUUUUUUUCAUUCUAAAUUACAGCGUAAGUAGCCAAAUUUCUGCCAUUUUUAUAUUCAUUUUAAGCUGGAGUUUAGGCAGUUCAAGCAACUACAGAUAUACAUAUAUGGCAAUUUUUAUAGCGGAAGAAAACAGUCUCGGAAAUAUCUGUCUCUAUAUAUUUCACGUGAACUCCCUUUUUUUUCUUUUAUUACCAUUUUCCUAGAAAAUUCUAAGCAUUCAUAACAUUAGUUUCACGGUGGUAAAAAAAAACAAUUAUUCAAAAUUUCCGUUUUUAAUUUAUAUUUAUCAUAAUGCAAGCUAUUAUAAUUCUAAAAAUAAAAUUAAAAAUAAUAUAUUCAGUUAAAAAGCUAGUAAUGGAUAUGAAAACCUUAAUUUUACUAUUUCACGUUUAAUUUUCAUAUAAAUAUUCUUUUAUAAAUAUAAGUUACAUAUAAAAGAAUUCAUCCAUUAAUGGUGCAUAAUCUUAAUAUUUAUAAGAUGUAGAAGUUAAGAGACGAAUGUGAGGGAGGGCGGGGACCUUGACCCCUUAAAAUAAAAAAAAAUUAAUUUAAUUUUCUUAUAAAUUAAGAAACUAUAAAUUAAUAUAUAAUGAAAUUACAUUUUGACCCAUUCAAAUGAAUUUUUUUAAUUUAAUUCUCUUAUAAAUAAAGAAAACAGAAAGAUUGUACUUUAACCCCCUCAAAAUAAAAAUGUUUAGUCACUUCAAAAUAAUCAAAUUAUAAAUUAAUAUAUAAUAAAUUUAUGUUUUAAUCUAUAAAAAGUUAUAGUUAAAUUCUAACUCUGAAAAUUUGUCAUUGCUGAACCAUAAAUCAAAUUGAUUAACCAAGAUAGAGUAAGAAAAGGAAACCAAUUUGGCUAUGUUAAUUACAACAUAGUGACCAAUCAAUCAUGUUUCCUUAAAAUUUAUUAAAUUGAUUUUUAUUUUAUUUUGAUGAAAUAAGCACAAUAUUCUAUGUUUGCAAAGCCUUAGGCUUUUGAGAAUGACACUAAUAGAAUAAAUAGUAAAUUUAGCAAUUGGUUGAGCAGUGAACUAAACAAUUAUUCACCUGGGUUGGGAUCUUAAAUUAAAGAUACUAUUUGUAUUUUUAUUUUUAUACAGAAAGUUAACCACAUUAGGGAAGGUACCAUAACCUAGAGGAUGCAGCUGAUAUACUUCUGAUGAAGAGUAACUUAGAGGAUGUGAUCACAGCCAUAUACCUUUCCAGGAAAACAUUUUCUCAUAUUCACCUUAACUAUAUUUGGGCAUUGGGGUAUAAUAUACUUGGGAUUCCAAUAGCUGCAAGGACUCUAUUUCCAUCAACUAGAUUUCGUUUACCUCCAAGGAUUGCUAGAGCUGCCAUGGCUACUUCCUCUGUUAGUGUUGUUUACUGCUCACUCUUGUUAAAGAAUUACAAGAGACCUAAAAAGCUGGAAAACCUUGAAAUUGGUGGAAUACAAAUUCAAUAAUAGAUGAUGGGAGUUCUAUAUAUCCAUAUAUAUAUAUAUAUGCAGGUUUGUUAUAUAUGUAUAGGUUGGGGGUGUGAAAUUUGACAAACUAAAUAAUAAGGUGUCAUGAAAAGAGUGGCUUUGCUAGGCUGCCAAAUUAUGUACAUAUGUUUGGUGUUAUUAUGAUUUUCAGGAUAUAAUUGUAGUUCCAAAGUUUGGUGAGCUUUGCAUGAGUAUGAAAGAUUUUUUUUUUCUUCUAUAAUUCUAAUUUUAUCUUGUAAGUGAGAUCUAAUAUAUAAUUAAUAUAAUAUAUUUAAAUAAUUAAAGUAGUAACAAAAAUAUUUAAAUAAAUUAAUGCUAAAAAUAUUUAUAAUUGGAAUCCAAACUAACUAAUUCAUCAUAACUUGAGUUCAUAACAAAUUAAAUUCAUAAUAGCAUAAGUCAUUUAUUAUUCAAAUAAUCGAUCGACUCUUAAUUCUAUCGAUAUUUGCAUUAUAUAUGUUCUAAACAUUCAAUUAAUUAAAUUAAGUAAUUAUUUUAUCAAAAUAUUAUUAGUAAUAAAUUUAAAAUUAUUUAAUUAUAGAAUAAACAUCAAUAUAAUUUUGAUCUGCUAGUAAAUUAGGAAAUAAUUUACAUAAAGAAUUUUUAUGUAGAACUAAAAAUGUAUAUUGGUUAUAUAUAUAUAGAAAUAAUAUUUGAUAUAUUAUUAGUGGAGUUUUUAGACUCCACAAGCAUUAUCAAGAGUAAUGGUAGAAGAGACGUAAUUACUUUUGCCUUUUUUUUUGGAAGCUUUAUCCCGUCUCCAGGGGUUCUCAUAUUCAACCCCUCUUUUACUUUUUUUUUUUGUACCAAUAACUUUUCUUAACAUGGAAUGUGAAAUAUUUGUCUAAUUUACAUUCUUUUUGCUCAAUUCCCUUUCUAGGUUGCCAAAUAAAAUUGGAUAAUCUAAUUUCUAUUUCAAGGUUCAUCCAUGGGAUUUCAUGAUGUUAUGGUACGCCCCUCUUAUCUUUUUCUUUCUUUCUUUUGUUUUGCUAUUUUUCUUUACAUUUCUCAUUGACUUAGCAGGUUUCUCUUUGAUUCGUAUGAUUGUUUGAUCGUAUAAUGUUGCUUCGAGUUUAGUUAUAGAUCCUAUCUAUUUGUUUUCUCUUUGUCAUUUUCCUUUAGGAGGUAAUCAAGUUAGUGACAAUUUUAGGUAUGAUGGUGUCUAUUACUUUGGCUCUAAUUGCUAGAAACUAAGCUUUGUAAAGCUAGAUUAUUUUAGAAUUAUAAGAUUUUUUUUAAAAGUGUAAGAGUUUAGCAUGCUAUCGUCCAUCUGAAAUACUUGUAGUGAAGGACACUUUAGGAGAUUAUUGAGGAAUCAAUAAAUUUGUUCAAUGUUAAGGUGAACUUUCCGCUGACGAUUUGGUGGUUGGGAUGAUUGAAAAAGCCAUUAAAAAAAACCCACAUGCCAAAAAAGUUCUAUUUUAGAUGGUUUUUCAAUGACUGUGGUUCAGGCACAAAAGGUGCUUUACUUAAUGUCACAUACUAAUAUCCCUUGCAGUUUUUUUUCCCUUUUUGAGUAUUAUGUUGGCUUUGAUACUUCUUGGGCUUUAACCAUGUUUGUUGUCUUGCUUAUACAGCUUCAUAAGAUGCCUUAGAAGCUACUAACUAAGAUUGACAAUGUGUUGAACUUUGCAACCGAUGAUUCCUUUUUUGAGGAGAGGAUCAAUGGUUGUUAGAUUGAUCCUUCUAGUGGUUGAAUCUAGCCCAUGAAAUUUGCACCUUCUGAAGUUCUCAGUGUUGAUGAUGUAGGUUUCCUUUUACUAUAAUUUUGAUUCAUCUUUUCUAUUACUAAAUGAUUAUUGAUAUCAAGUAAAGUUGCAAGCUCCAUUGCAUUAGAUAUAUGGGCUAAUUUGUUAAACUAACUGUGACAUUCGUCAAUGCCCUUAUGCUAUUGUUAGUGUUUGUAAAUUAUAUUGAACGCAUUGAAAAAAAUAGAACUUGCAUUCUCUUUAGGAUAGUUAUAGUUCUUACUUAGUUUUCAUCAACAAUGUCUACACAAAUGUGCUGCCUUUGCACCAUUGGAAAUGAAUUAAAGCUAGAUUCUCUUAAGACAAUGAUAUUUGAAUUGUGCAUGAUUGUUUGAUUGACAUACUUAUGUUCGCUUUGACCUUACUUGUUUGUGUAACUAAGUCCACCUUCAGACUGUAGGAGAUUGAUUGUUGGCUCAAACAAAGUUGAAACUUGUUUGACAGUUGGUGUUAUUUAAGCAAACUUAAUGGGUUCUUCAAAAUAACACUAUUAUGUGGUGAGAUACUGUCGAAGUUCGAUUUCUCCAUACAUAAAUCAGAUUUUGAGAUUGAUCAUAUAUCUUGAAUUGGAGUUAUCUUGAAAAUGUUUCUACUUUUAUUGGUGACAGUGUGGAAUAGAUGCCUAUGCAACUGAUAGGGUGCUUUUUUUAUCUUCCAAGCCUUCUGUAUACGCAAAUAUUAACUACAAUGCGCUAUCUACUACUAUCAGUUGUAGACAGACCUCUAUUGUUAGAUCACUUUUACAGGUAAACAUCUCAGAACAUAGUCAAUCAUGAUCUGUAGCUUCCCACUAGAAUUUUUUUUUUGAAUUUGCACUCUUUGUUACAUGGGAUUUAAAGUGCUAUAUAUGUAUAAGCUUUUUAAUCAAGUUGUUGCUUGUGUACUUAUCUGUAGAGUGUUCUUAAAAGACAUUACUAACUUUUUCAAAAUUGAUGAUCAGACUGGCAUCAAGAUGGACUUAAAGGUAAGAGUUGGAGACUGGUUUUGGUAUUGCAAAAUGGAAAUUCAUAUUGUGGCGAACUUAACUUGUAUAGCCAUGAGCUCACUUGAAGCUGUGAGCUUAUCUAAAGUAGCGAGCUUACAUAAAGACGUGAGCUUAACUCAAGUUGCGAGCACAUUAAAGUGUGAACUAUUAAGGUUUUUGAUAAACCCUCAAUUAAAAUGCAAGUAGGGUUCAAAUAUGCUGAUAUUGAUGUUUUGUUUAGUCUGCUUGUUUGAGAUUAUUUGUUAAAACAAGCAGAGUUAGUAUUAAUUUGAUGUUUUUAGGUACUGAUUUACCUAAUCAGUUAGUGUGCAAGUUUUAUUUUUGCAUUUUCAAGGUGAUUUAGUAGGAUUUGUUGAUUAUUUGUAACCACUAUACGUAUAUAUUGUAAUUCAUGUGGAAUGAGAGGAUGAUGAGAAUUUGGUAGCAAUUCAUCAAUAAAUGCUAAGUAUUGUCAUUGUUUUCUCUCUAUUUUUUAUUGCUCUGUUCUCUCAUCUUCUCAAAACACCAAUAAUUGGUAUUAGAGCCUUAGUUUUUAAGGGUGUUGUGUGUGUUUUUCUUGUUGAAAAGAGUGUUGAUUGUAUCUUGUUUGUAUUGCAAUGUCAUUUAAAAGUUUUACACCACCUCCACCUUCUAUCUUUGCUAGAGAGAACUGCCAUUUUUGGGUAGUAAAGAUGAAAACGUAUCUACAGGCAUAUGACUUGUGGGAAGUUGUUGAUUCAAACAGAGAACCACCACCUUUGUAAGCUAAUCCAACUAUAGCUCAAAUUAGACAGCACAGUAAUGGUGUAUAAUCUUAAUAUUCUUUUAUAAAUAUAAGUUACAAGAUAAUGCUUUAGAAUAACGUAUUUUUAUGUAUAAUGCUUUAGAAUAACGUAUUUUUAUGUAUUAAUCAUGUGUUUAUUCUGAGCUUGAUUCUACUAAUUUGAGCUAUUUAUGUCUUUUUAUCUUUUAGGGACUGAUUUGGAGGCAAAAGCAAAAUUAAUGGAUAAAAGUGCGAAUUUGGAGACACAAUGGGCUGAUAUGCGACACAGGAAAAAGAUUGUGCCAAAAGUGCAAGCAUGGAAGACACAAGGACUAAAAACGCAAAAAGAAGAGAUUUUAUUCUAUAAGACUCCAUUUUAUUAGGAUAAUUAUUAGGAUUAUUUAAAUUUUAGGAUUUUAUUUUAAUUAUCUCUAUUUAUCUUUAAUUACAUGUAUUUAUCUUUUUAGAACUUAAGUUAAAUUAGACUAUCUCCCUAGCACUAUAAAUAGGGGGUGAAGUGACUCUAUUUGGGUUCAUCUUUUUCUGAAAAUACUCCCCCCUGAAAGUCUAGGCUUUUGUUUCUUCAUAUUUUCUUUCAAUAAAAAUUCCCUUUUCCCUUUUUAUAUUUAUUUUCUUUUCCACCAUUAUGAUGAGCCACUAAAACCUAUCUAGCCGAAAGUUGUCAAUAUUCCCCAAAAAAGGGUUCUUGAGGCCUAGAAUCCGUACUUAGCCUUCUCGCCAAGUAUUUAUCGUUUCUCUGCACUACGGGCUGACGCUUCCGUCCAUGGCCCUUAAGAAGUAAACUUUUCAGCAUAUGCAGAGGCGACCGCUUUGUAUGUUUUGGAAGGAUUGCACAGUCGGUUCGUUAACUUACUGCGUGAGAGGUUGGCAAGCCAAAGAGACAAAAUGGGGUGGGAUUCGCCAUUGAGAAGCGUUGAUCUAGCAUAGAUUACUGGCUAGAGUCAGAUUCCCUAAAAAUCGUAAGUCUAAUCUUUGGAGCUGGUGGUCGUAGGCGUCUUCUUCCACUAUAACUAGCUUACUUGAGUUGAGAAGGGUCAUUUAAAAGUCAAGGAUCGAACCCAAGGCAGAAUGAGACAACUAGAGGCUGGAAUCUACCAAUAAGAAUUUCUUUUCUUUUAACUCUCUUUAUUAUUUUUAUUAUUUUCGUAAUCACAAUUUCAAUCAACUUUAGAUUCUGUCUUUCAUUCUUUUCCAAAUUAAAUCUUUAAUUCUGUUAUUUUUAUUUUUUUCUACCACGCAAGUUUUCUUGGGCACGAUUCUGCCUAAGAUUUCGAGAAACAAGCAUUCGUAUAAUCCAAUCCCUGAGGAUUCAACCUACUUCCCCUUUACUGUUCUUUUUCAUUAUUUUACAGGGAAUAGGAUAUUAUUGGUGCUCUCAACUAUGCAUCAAAUUUUGGUGCCGUUACCGGGGAUCGGUAAUGUACUAAUCUUGUUUUUUGUUUCUUAUGACUAGAUCUGCUCCAGGAACUCUUGCGUUUGAUUCAGAGAUUGAAAAGACUACGAGAGCUAAUUGCAAGGAAACAAAGCUAAGAAAAAAGCAGUCAGCGGUGGUUGGGACUUAAAGUAAUCCACCACCAGAAAUCAGAAUCGACGACAAAGCAGAGUCUAGGGUUAACAAAAACCCUACUUAAACUUUUGAAGGUGAAAAAGUAGAAGUCGAUUCCUCAGAAGAAGUGUUUAACAUUAGGGUUGACGAAAACCCUAAUUUAGCACCUCAACCUAUUGCUCAGACAAUUCAGCAAUUGGCCAAAGCACCGACAGAACAACCGCUACUAUGCAUCGCGUAUCCUACUAUGGAUACUGAUUUUGAAUUAAAGUCAGGCUUGAUCCAGCUACUGCUAACUUUUCGGGGUUACAGAACGAAAAUCCUCAUAAGCAUUUGAAAGAAUUCCAUAUGGUUUGCCUUAGUAUGAAACCUCAGGGGGUAACUAAGGAUCAAAUUAAACUGCGCGCUUUCCCUUUUUCCUUAGCAGAUUCUGCUAGGGAAUGGUUAUUUUAUUUACUUCUUGGAUCUGUAACGACUUGGGUUGAUCUGUCUCGUUUAUUUCUCAACAGGUUUUUUCCAGCGUCGCGUACGAGUUAAGAAGAGAAAUCGUGGGCAUAAGGCAAAAAGACGCAGAGACUCUGUACGACUAUUGGGAGUGAUUUAAAAAGUUGUGUGCAAGUUGCCCACAACACGGUAUAAUGGAACAGUCUUUGCUCCAAUACUUUUAUGAAGGCCUGAAACCCAUGGAGAUGAAUAUGGUAGAUGUCGCGAGUGGAGGAGCGUUAGUCAACAUGACUCCACAACAAGCAAGAGACUUAAUCUCCACAAUGGCUGCAAAUUCUCAGCAAUUUCGAGCCAACCCUGAAUCCCCUAGAAGGGUUCACUAGCUAAGUAAUUCGACCUUAGAAGAUAAAUUUGAUAGACUUACUAAUAUUAUAAGCUCUCUUAUUGCAGAAAAAGCCAAACCAGCCCGAGUAUGCGGAAUAUGUGCUACCUUUGAACAUACGACUGAUGUAUGUCCCAGUUUGAAUGAUACUAUGGCUCAUUUAGAUGCUGCGGGAAAUUUUCCUGGACCACAACAAAGGCGAUAUGACCCUUACACUAACACCUACAACCCAGGAUAGAGGGACCACCCUAACUUAAGUUAUGGGGCCAAUCCACGAUAUAACCAGCCAUACCAAAAUCGGGUUCCACAGCAGCCACAAAAUUCAGGUAAUUCUCUGGAAACAUUGGUUAAUAAAUUAGCAGCUAAUAUGCUUGAUUUUCAACAAAAUACCGAGGCAUCUAUAAGAGAAUUGACCAUAUCAAUUGAGAAAUUAAACUUUCAAGGGAAGCUGCCAUCACAAACAGAACCUAAUCCAAGAAAACACGCAAAUGCAGUGACGUUGCAAAGUGGAAAGGUACUAGAACCAAUUCUUGAUAGGAAUCUUGGCCAAGAAAUCACCUAGGAAAAACUCGAAGACGACGAACAGGUCCGAGCGAAGCCUCCACUGCCGAAAAUCCAACCUCCAUUCCCAAGACGAUUAAACCAGUGUCGAAAAAGAUUAGAAGAAAGGAGGAACAACAAAUCUGCAGCCAAACAGCCCCUACUCGACACUUUUGGCCAGCAACUAACGGAUCCCAUUGCCAUCAUACGUAAACGGCAGUAAUAACACGGGGAGUUCCUCUACACCUUUUUCUCCUAUUUUAUUUGUUCCACAUCGGGGACUAUGUGUUUUAAGUAGGGAGGAGGCAUUCCUCAUUAUUUCUGUCUUUUAGCUGCUGAUUUGGUUGUUGCUGCACAUAUAAUUUUUUUUAAUAAUAUUUUGCCUCUUUUCAUGCCCAAGAAUUUGACCACGACUUGCCCACUGUUUGACCCAUAUGCAUGAGUCUUAUCUACUGAGUUAAUUAUGAUUUUUCUUGAUAGAUUUCAUCUCCACUGUUUUAUUUCUUUUAGUUUAAAUAAUUAUGAUUAAUAGAAUUAACCCUAACUUUAUUUUGGUAAAUUUGAUUAAGUCUAAAUACAAGAGGACACUUAAUACAAUUGCAUGCUUAAAAUAUGUUCAUAACUAUUAAGUUGGUUACUAAAACUUAUUUUUGACAUUUGUUUGUUUUUCUAAGUCCUCCAAAAUUAAAAUUUCGUUUAAUAAUAAUAAUGUUUCCGUGGUUAUGAGUGCAGCUUAAGACGUGACUAGCUGAGUAACCGGGAUAGGGUGCUUGGGUUGUCAUCCUAUUUCGCGUCAAAAGGUUGUGUGACGUGUUAGGUAAAACUCCGCUAACCGGAAUUAAUUUCUAAGAAUGUGUUGGGCUGAGUAACCGGGGUGAGGUGCUUGGCUGUCAUCUCUCUUCGCGUCAAAAGGUUCGAUAUGUUUUAGGAAAAAUAAAAAUUAGGAGUAUGUUGGGCUGAGUAACCGGGGUGGGGUGCUUGGCUGUCAUCUCUCUUCGCGUCAAAAGGUUCAAUAUAUUCCUAAGUAAAAAUAAAUAAAUAAAAUUAAAAUUUUAUAAAAAAAAGAAAAAAAAGUCAUAUUAAUAAAAUGUGAGGACUAAAGGUAAAAACGAAUAGAGUGUCUUGAUAGAUUUGGUAAAUUACCUAAUUUUCAUGAAAUAAUCCAAGUCGAUCUUAAUUUAUGUGUGUUAACUGGAACACUUUUUCAAUUUUACUUAAAUCAAGCUAAAGGUUUUCUUUAUUUUUCGUAUGCAUUUUGACUAAUUUUUAUAAAACUUUGGAGUAGAAUUUCUUUCAUGGCAGGAUUUAAUUUUCAUGGUGGACAGGAACCAUACUUGAGGGCAAGCAUGGGCUAAGUAGGGGAAUUUGAUAAUGCUCCAGAAUAACGUAUUUUUAUGUAUUAAUCAUGUGUUUAUUCUGAGCUUGAUCCUAUUAAUUUGAGCUAUUUAUGUCUUUUUAUCUUUUAGGGACUGAUUUGGAGGCAAAAGUAAAAUUAAUGGACAAAAGUGCGAAUUUGGAGACACAAUGGGUUGAUAUGCGACACAGGAAAAAGAUUGUGCCAAAAGUGCAAGCAUGGAAGACACAAGGACUAAAAAUGCAAAAAGAAGAGAUUUUAUUCUAUAAGACUCCAUUUUAUUAGAAUAAUUUAUAUUAGGAUAAUUAUUAGGAUUAUUUAAAUUUUAGGAUUUUAUUUUAAUUAUCUCUAUUUAUAUUUAAUUAAAUGUAUUUAUCUUUUAGAAUUUAAGUUAAAUUAGACUAUCCCCCUAGCACUAUAAAUAGGGGGUGAAGUGACUCUAUUUGGGUUCAUCUUUUUCUGAAAACACUCUCCCCCUGAAAGUCUAGACUUUUGUUUCUUCAUAUUUUCUUUCAAUAAAAAUUCCCUUUUCCCUUUUUAUAUUUAUUUUCUUUUCCACCAUUAUCAUGAGCCACUAAAACCUAUCUAGCCGAAAGUUAUCAAUAUUCAUCAAAAAGGGUUCUUGAGGCCUAGAAUCCAUACUUAGCCUUCUCGCCAAGUAUUCAUCGUUUCUCCGCACUACGGGCUGACGCUUUCGUCCAUGGCCCUUAAGAAGUAAACUUUUCAGCAUAUGCAAAGGCGGCCGCUUUGUAUGUUUUGGAAGGAUUGCACAGUCGGUUCGUUAACUUACUGCGUCAAAGGUUGGCGAGCCAAAGAGACAAAAUGGAGUGGGAUUCGCCAUUGAGAAGCGUUGAUCUAGCAUAGAUUACUGGCUAGAGUCAGGUUCUUUAAAAAUCGUAAGUCUAAUCUUUGGAGCUGAUGGUCGUAGGCGUCCUCUUCCACUAUAACUGGCUUACUUGAGUUGAGAAGGGUCAUUUAAAAGUCAAGGAUCGAACCCAAGGCGGAAUGAGACAACUGGAGGCUGGAAUCUACCAAUAAGAAUUUCUUUUCCUUUAACUCUCUUUAUUAUUUUUAUUAUUUUUGUAAUCACAAUUUCAGUCAACUUUAGAUUCUGUUUUUCAUUCUUUUCCAAAUCAAAUCUUUAAUUCUGUUAUUUUUAUUUUUUUCUGCCAUGCAGGUUUUCUUGGGCACGAUUCUGCCCAGGAUUUCGAGAAACAAGCAUUCGUAUAAUCCGAUCCCUGAGGAUUCGAUCCUACUUCCCCUUUACUGUUCUUUUUCAUUAUUUUACAGGGAAUAGAAUGUUUUUGGUGCUCUCAACGACACAUCAUUACAUAUAAAAGAACUUAUCCAUUAAUGGUGCAUAAUCUUAAUAUUUAUAAGAUGUAGAAGUUAAGAGACGAAUGUGAGGGAGGGCAGGGACCUUGACCCCUCAAAAUAAAAAAAAAUUCAAUUUAGUUUUCUUAUAAAUUAAGAAACUAUAAAUUAAUAUAUAAUGAAAUUGCAUUUUGACCCAUUCAAAUGAAUUUUUUUAAUUUAAUUCUCUUAUAAAUAAAGAAAACAGUAAGAUUGUACUUUAACCCCUUCAAAAUAAAAAUGUUUAGUCCCUUUAAAAUAAUCAAAUUAUAAAUUAAUAUAUAAUAAAUUUAUGUUUUAAUCUAUAAAAAGUUAUAGUUAAAUUCUGACUCUGAAAAUUUGUCAUUGCUAAACCAUAAAUCAAAUUGAUUAACCAAGAUAGAGUAAGAAAAGGAAAUCAAUUUGGCUAUGUUAAUUACAACAUAGUGACCAAUCAAUCAUGUUUCCUUAAAAUUUAUUAAAUUGAUUUUUAUUUUAUUUUGAUGAAAUAAGCACAAUAUUCUAUGUUUGCAAAGCCUUAGGCUUUUGAGAAUGACACUAAUAGAACAAAUGGUAAAUUUAGCAAUUGGUUGAGUAAUGAACUAAACAAUUAUUCACCUGGAUAUUCCAGGUUGGGAUCUUAAAUUAAAGAUACUAUUUUUAUUUUUAUUUUUUUACAGAAAGUUAACCACAUUAGGGAAGGUAUCAUAACCACGUUAGAUGCAGCUGAUAUACUUCUGAUGAAGAGUAACUUAGAGGAUGUGAUCACAGCCAUACACCUUUCCAGGAAAACAUUUUCU